RNAcentral lists this transfer RNA (64 nucleotides) under Dermanyssus gallinae. RNAcentral's name for it is "tRNA-Trp". The record is from RNAcentral. Lineage: Eukaryota; Metazoa; Arthropoda; Arachnida; Mesostigmata; Dermanyssidae.
AAAAUUUUAAGUUAAAUAAACUUUUUAUUUUCAAAAUAAAAAAUAGAUUCCAAUCUAAAUUUUA